UUUAAGGUGGCAGAAUAAAUGCAAAGAUUUUAAGAAUCUUCCAUACUGAAACACGUCCUUAUUU
Molecule: transfer RNA, 64 nt
Filed under: Eleutherocaulis alte
Lineage: Eukaryota; Metazoa; Mollusca; Gastropoda; Systellommatophora; Veronicellidae
Description: tRNA-Leu
Source: RNAcentral